Molecule: ribosomal RNA, 728 nt
Filed under: Acinetobacter sp. SA4
Lineage: Bacteria; Pseudomonadati; Pseudomonadota; Gammaproteobacteria; Moraxellales; Moraxellaceae
Description: bacterial SSU rRNA
Rfam family: Bacterial small subunit ribosomal RNA
Source: RNAcentral
CAGGCCUAACACAUGCAAGUCGAGCGGGCGAGGUUGCUUCGGUAACUUAGCUAGCGGCGGACGGGUGAGUAAUGCUUAGGAAUCUGCCUAUUAGUGGGGGACAACAUUCCGAAAGGGAUGCUAAUACCGCAUACGUCCUACGGGAGAAAGCAGGGGCUCUUUAUGACCUUGCGCUAAUAGAUGAGCCUAAGUCGGAUUAGCUAGUUGGUGGGGUAAAGGCCUACCAAGGCGACGAUCUGUAGCGGGUCUGAGAGGAUGAUCCGCCACACUGGGACUGAGACACGGCCCAGACUCCUACGGGAGGCAGCAGUGGGGAAUAUUGGACAAUGGGGGGUACCCUGAUCCAGCCAUGCCGCGUGUGUGAAGAAGGCCUUUUGGUUGUAAAGCACUUUAAGUGGGGAGGAGGCUUACCUGGUUAAUACCUGGGCUAAGUGGACGUUACCCACAGAAUAAGCACCGGCUAACUCUGUGCCAGCAGCCGCGGUAAUACAGAGGGUGCGAGCGUUAAUCGGAUUUACUGGGCGUAAAGCGCGCGUAGGUGGUUAAUUAAGUCAAAUGUGAAAUCCCCGAGCUUAACUUGGGAAUUGCAUUCGAUACUGGUUAGCUAGAGUAUGGGAGAGGAUGGUAGAAUUCCAGGUGUAGCGGUGAAAUGCGUAGAGAUCUGGAGGAAUACCGAUGGCGAAAGCAGCCAUCUGGCCUAAUACUGACACUGAGGUGCGAAAGCCUGC